Molecule: ribosomal RNA, 852 nt
Filed under: Canalisporium aquaticium
Lineage: Eukaryota; Fungi; Ascomycota; Sordariomycetes
Description: Canalisporium sp. JY-2019a partial large subunit ribosomal RNA
Rfam family: Eukaryotic large subunit ribosomal RNA
Source: RNAcentral
CAGGGAUUGCCCCAGUAGCGGCGAGCGAAGCGGCAACAGCCCAGAUUUGAAAUCCGGUGCUCUUUGGGCGCCCGAGUUGUAAUCUGCAGAUGGGUUUUCCGGUGAGGUGCACGUCCAAGUUCCCUGGAAUGGGACGCCGUAGAGGGUGAGAGCCCCGUACUGGCGCUGCGCCGAGCCUCUGUGUGGCCCAUUCGACGAGUCGAGUAGUUUGGGAAUGCUGCUCUAAUUGCGAGGUAAAUCUCUCGUAAGGCUAAAUACCGGCCAGAGACCGAUAGCGCACAAGUAGCGUGAGCGAAAGAUGAAAAGAGCCUUGGAUAAGGGCGUCAAAAAGCAUGUGAAAUCGUUAUGGGGGAAGCGCUCGUCGCCAGACGUGGCGGCGGCCGGUUAGUCGGCGUCCUCGCCGACGCACUCGGAUCGUCGCCAGGCCAGCAACAGCUCGGACUGGGGCCUACUGCCGGAGGGAACGUAGCUCCUCUCGGGGAGUGUUAUAGCCCUUCGGUGACGCCCUGGGCCGGGCUGAGGACCGCGCCUUGUGCACGGAUGCUGGCGUAAUGGCGCCUAGCGACCCGUCUUGAAACACGGACCAAGGAGUUGACCUAGCGCGCGAGUGUACGGGUGUCAAGCCCCUGCGCGCAGUGAAAGCAAACGCUGGUGGGAGCCUUCGGGCGCACCAUCGACCGAUCCUGAUGCUCCGCGGAUGGAUUUGAGUAGGAGCGUGCUGGGUCUGACCCGAAAGAAGGUGAACUAUGCAUGGGUAGGGUGAAGCCAGAGGAAACUCUGGUGGAGGCUCGCAGCGGUUCUGACGUGCAAAUCGAUCGUCAAACCUGUGCAUGGGGGCGAAAGACCAAUCGA